RNAcentral lists this ribosomal RNA (253 nucleotides) under uncultured bacterium. RNAcentral's name for it is "partial 16S ribosomal RNA". It matches the Rfam family "Bacterial small subunit ribosomal RNA", at positions 524 to 776 of the family's 1533-position model. The record is from RNAcentral.
UCCGAAGGGGGCUAUCGUUGUUCGGAAUUACUGGGCGUAAAGCGCACGCAGGCGGAUUUAUAAGUCAGGGGUGAAAUCCCGGGGCUCAACCUCGGAAUUGCCCUUGAUACUGUCUAUCUUGAGUCCGGGAGAGGUGAGUGGAAUUCCUAGUGUAGAGGUGAAAUUCGUAGAUAUUAGGAAGAACACCAGUGGCGAAGGCGGCUCACUGGCCCGGUACUGACGCUCAUGUGCGAAAGCGUGGGGAGCAAACAGG